CCUACGGGAGGCAGCAGUAGGGAAUAUUGCACAAUGGGCGAAAGCCUGAUGCAGCAACGCCGCGUGCGCGAUGAAGGCCUUCGGGUCGUAAAGCGCUUUUCGGGGAGACGAGGAAGGACGGUAUCCCCGGAAUAAGGAUCGGCUAACUACGUGCCAGCAGCCGCGGUAAAACGUAGGAUCCGAGCGUUAUCCGAAUUCACUGGGCGUAAAGCGCGUGUAGGCGGUCUUAUAAGUUGGAUGUGAAAUCUCCUGGCUCAACUGGGAGAGGCCGUUCAAUACUGUAGGACUAGAGGGCAGUAGAGGGAGGUGGAAUUCCCGGUGUAGUGGUGAAAUGCGUAGAUAUCGGGAGGAACACCAGUGGCGAAGGCGGCCUCCUGGACUGCACCUGACGCUCAGACGCGAAAGCUAGGGGAGCGAACGGGAUUAGAAACCCCGGUAGUCCUAGCCGUAAACGAUGUAGACUGGGUGUUGGUGGGGUAAAAUCCGCCGGUGCCGAAGCAAACGCGAUAAGUCUACCGCCUGGGGACUACGGCCGCAAGGUUAAAACUCAAAGGAAUUGACGG
This 563-nucleotide ribosomal RNA is filed under the name uncultured bacterium. Its description in RNAcentral is "bacterial SSU rRNA". It matches the Rfam family "Bacterial small subunit ribosomal RNA", at positions 338 to 916 of the family's 1533-position model. The record is from RNAcentral.